RNAcentral lists this ribosomal RNA (216 nucleotides) under Campeiostachys nutans. RNAcentral's name for it is "Elymus nutans partial small subunit ribosomal RNA". It matches the Rfam family "Eukaryotic small subunit ribosomal RNA", at positions 653 to 864 of the family's 1831-position model. The record is from RNAcentral. Lineage: Eukaryota; Viridiplantae; Streptophyta; Magnoliopsida; Poales; Poaceae.
GGCCCGGUUGGAUGGUCAUGCCUCUGGUAUGUACUGGUCUCACUGAUUCCUCCUUCCUGAUGAACCUUAAUGCCAUUUAUUUGGUGUUUUGGGGAAUUUGGACUGUUACUUUGAAAAAAUUAGAGUGUUUAAAGCAAGCUAACGCUUGAAUACAUUAGCAUGGAAUAAUGAAAUAGGACGUUCGAUCCUAUUUUGUUGGUUUCUAGGAUUGACGUA